RNAcentral lists this transfer RNA (72 nucleotides) under Stegodyphus mimosarum. It matches the Rfam family "tRNA". Rfam says of the family: Transfer RNA (tRNA) molecules are approximately 80 nucleotides in length. Their secondary structure includes four short double-helical elements and three loops (D, anti-codon, and T loops). The record is from Rfam by way of RNAcentral. Lineage: Eukaryota; Metazoa; Arthropoda; Arachnida; Araneae; Eresidae.
GCCUUCGUGGUGUAAUGGUCAGCACACUCGGCGCGUAUACGAGAGGUCCAGGUUCGAGUCCCGGCGAGGGCA